Molecule: ribosomal RNA, 140 nt
Filed under: uncultured bacterium
Lineage: Bacteria
Description: partial 16S rRNA
Rfam family: Bacterial small subunit ribosomal RNA
Source: RNAcentral
UGGGGAAUAUUGGGCAAUGGAGGAAACUCUGACCCAGCNACGCCGCGUGCGGGAUGAAGGCCUUCGGGUUGUAAACCGCUUUCANUAGGGAAGAAGCGAAAGNGACGGNACCUACAAAAGAAGCACCGGNUAACUAUGUG